RNAcentral lists this long non-coding RNA (465 nucleotides) under Homo sapiens (human). Its description in RNAcentral is "non-protein coding lnc-ZNF330-2:2". Lineage: Eukaryota; Metazoa; Chordata; Mammalia; Primates; Hominidae. The record is from RNAcentral.
UACCUUAAUUCUUUCCUUUUCAAUUUUGCUCUUUUUACAAAGGAAUGGAAAGUCUAUUGAGGUUACUGAAUACUCCAAGUCAAGAUAGCUAGUUAGUAACUAAACAGGGUUAAGGUCUUUUGAAGUCUUUCUCAUUUCCCAACUCACUGUCAAGGUCUACAGAGUCUGAGAUUUGAUACUACUUGCAGACUAACAAGUUUGCCUGCCACUGUUUUGUGGAUACUGGCAGAAGACACAGGACUCUUGGGUCAGAGACAAAAGACUUCAGCACUCAUGGGAUUGAAGUUAGCCUGCUACUGUUUUGUGGAUACUGGCAGAAGACACAAGACUCUUGGGUCAGAGACAAAGGAUUUCAGUAUUCAUGGGACAACAGUGGCCAGAGCAGAUACUAUACAUCCUGUAGGUUUGCAUCACAGUCAAGGAAGAUGCUUCCAGAGUUCCAGGUGCUACCAAGACAAUAUCUCA